AAUUAAGGUCAGCAAAAAAUUACAACAGUCCAAUCCAGGCAGGACGACAAAUAGCCCAGACCCUUCAGGAAUGAAGGUUUGGGUCACUCCACCAGGAAAAAAACCA
Molecule: long non-coding RNA, 106 nt
Organism: Sapajus apella (tufted capuchin)
Lineage: Eukaryota; Metazoa; Chordata; Mammalia; Primates; Cebidae
Exons: 3
Source: RefSeq, a predicted model, not a curated record